AUACGGAGGAUGCAAGCGUUAUCCGGAUUCAUUGGGUUUAAAGGGUGCGUAGGCGGACUAUUAAGUCAGUGGUGAAAUCCUGCAGCUUAACUGCAGAACUGCCAUUGAUACUGAUGGUCUUGAGUUUGGUUAAGGUAGGCGGAAUGUGUAAUGUAGCGGUGAAAUGCUUAGAUAUUACACAGAACACCAAUUGCGUAGGCAGCUUACUGAGCCGACACUGACGCUGAGGCACGAAAGCGUGGGGAUCAAACAGGAUUAGAUACCCUGGUAGUCCACGCCGUAAACGAUGAUCACUGGAUGCCGGCGAUACACCGUCGGCGUCUGAGCGAAAGCAUUAAGUGAUCCACCUGGGGAGUACGAUCGCAAGGUUGAA
This 373-nucleotide ribosomal RNA is filed under the name uncultured bacterium. Its description in RNAcentral is "bacterial SSU rRNA". It matches the Rfam family "Bacterial small subunit ribosomal RNA", at positions 523 to 898 of the family's 1533-position model. The record is from RNAcentral.